This is a long non-coding RNA of Ailuropoda melanoleuca (giant panda), 616 nucleotides long. RefSeq lists it as uncharacterized. The record is from RefSeq and is a predicted model, not a curated record. The transcript is spliced from 3 exons. Lineage: Eukaryota; Metazoa; Chordata; Mammalia; Carnivora; Ursidae.
AAAUAAAAUCUUUUUUAAACAAUCCGCAUGUAAGUGGACCCACGGAGUUCAAACCCAUGUCGCUCAGCGGUCAUCUGUGUUGGUUUUUUCUUCACAUUUCGGUUUUUUACUGGAAACAAUUUUUUCUGUUGUUCAGACGCUUUAGGGCACCUUUCUCUUUGAUCGUGGAUGGAGUCACCAAGCAAGAGGGAAAAUGGGCAGGAGAGCCAGCAGAGGGGAAAUAACAGCCGGUGCAGCGGGGCCAUUUCCCGAGCUGUGAGGGGAGGAGCAAGACGUGCCUGUGAUGCAAAGGGCGGCGGGUGCUGUCGUGGGAGGCGGUGAGUUGCCCGGAUUCUCUCUGUCGCCAGGAGGGGACUUGGGAGAUGUGGCGCUGCACGGGCUGGGAGGGCGGCCCGCCCCCGCUCCGCUCCCGGAGCUGCCCGGGUGAAUCUUCGGGGCGGAGAGCCCCGCUCACAGUACCCCCGGUUAAGAGGACACCUGCCCCGGGACCUGGCUGCUCCCCUAGUCCUUCUAACGUGUCUAAUAGAGAUUUCCUUUGACGGGGCGGAGGGGGGGGUGACUGCUGGAAACGGCAAUGGUGUAUCUCACCCCCAAUUUACACACACACACACACACA